CUGAAAGUUACAGCGCCUGCGCAGGGAAUAGAGACUCAAACACGUCAGGCGGGGUUUAGCUGGUACCCUCCUCUUCGCCCAGGCUGGCCUCCUCCACGUCGAUUAAAGAUGCCCCGCGGGAGUUAGCGGAACGCGCUCGGUUCGCCUUUGCCGGGGAGCAACGAGAAGCUCGAUCGUCAGUUGCAAAGCGCGGGGAGGAGGCGCAGGCAGGUUGGCCGGAGGGGAGGUCGGCGGGCGCGGGACCGGGCCAAAUGGUGAGGCAGUGCAGGAGGUAGCCUCUGGUUUCUCUCCUCUUCCCUUUCCUUCGCUUUUUCGCCGGCAGAAGCUCUCCCAUUUUCCGUCCGGCACCCAAGUUGCAGAAGUCAGAGGGUUCAACACUCAGGCCGAUGAAUUACAAAUGAAACUUUUGCUCAGUUUUCCCAGAUUUCUGCAGCAAGAUGUUUACUGCAAAUACCACAAACUGGGUUACUUUUGAAGAUGAAUCCCAGUCUCCUCAAAUAGCAAGAGAAAAUGAUAACGUUUGCAGACCAAAUGGGCUUAAACUCACACUGCCUAAAAUGCAAGAUUUUUCAAACCAAUCGUCCUCCAUAACCUGUACUUCUCUUUCAUCUCCUAUAAGUGACUACUACUAUAGCCCUGAUCCCCCCAGUAAUUCUCCACUCUGUACACCCACCAGAGACUAUCCUAUCAGUCCUUGCUUUCCCAAAUCAGGAACUCAUUUUCUUAGUCCUAUUCCAGAAUUGUCAUCCAACGUUAAUCAUCUCCCACUGAUUGAAACACCUUCUCAAAAAUUGAUUGGAAUAUCUCAGCCUGUGCACAGUUCAGAAUUUUCUACUCUGAAACCAAUACCUGGUGCAAAAGUUAUGUAUCAGGAAAACUCAAAGAAAUUGGAAAAUACCUUAGACUCACAAGCCUUUUUUCAGGAUGUUUCAAGUGAAUCUGCUUUCUCCAAUCCAUUUUGGUCAGAAGGUUCAUCUACUGUGUCUUUGCCAAGCUUUCAUGGACAUGGAAAAGAGUCAGAUUUUGAAAGAGAUUUUUCUUUUAAAGGAAAGAAAAGCUGGCCAGAUCAGAAAAGCUUAAACCAGGGUUCAUUCAAUUAUAUAUGUGAGAGGCUUGAACACUUGAAAACAGAGACUUCAAACACUGAAAGAGCUUUGAGACCAGUUCCAUGUAUGUGCACUAGAGAUGGCCUUCCUUCAUUUAUUCCAAGCAGUCUCUUUAGCAGCCAGCGAAAAGAUGGCUGGCCUUUCAUGCUAAGGAUUCCUGAAAAGAAAAAUAUGAUGUCAUCAAGGCAGUGGGGUCCUAUUUACCUUAAAGUUUUACCAGGAGGAAUCCUACAAAUGUAUUAUGAAAAAGGUCUUGAAAAUCCUUUCAAAGUAUUCCAGCUGCAACAAUUUUGCAGGCUUUCAGAACCAAAGUUAGAGAACUGCAACAUCUCUGGGAAAAUCCAUACGGUGAAAAUUGAAUAUGUGACAUAUACAGAGAAAAAGAAGUAUCCUAAAACUGAAGUGGUUCAUGAAGCAGAGAUUGAACAGAUGCUGAAAUUAGGAACAACUGAUUACAGUGACUUCAGUGACUUCCUAAUGGUAGUUGAGGACGAGUUAAUGAAGCUUCCUGCUUUUUCAAAACCAAAGAGACAUUAUGAAGAACAAAAAAUGAUCUUGGAAAUAGUGGAUAAUUUUUGGGGGACAAUUAGUAAAGCAGAAGACAGGUUAGCUGAAACUGCUGUCAUAACUCAUAUUUAUUCAUUAAACUUUUUGAAUGGUAAUUCUGAGUGCUUUAUGACACUAAAUGACUUGGAGCUACAAAAGAGGGAUGAACAUUAUUUUGAGUCAGACAAUAAGAAAAAAUGGAUUGAAAUUAAUGACUAUCACUUUCAUCAAUGUGUGAAGAAGCAAGAAUUUGAGCAUUCAAGAAUAAUUAAAUUUAUACCACCAGAUGGCUGUAGAGUAGAACUAAUGCGUUAUAGGACACAAUAUAAUGGAUCAGAUCUUCCAUUUUCUGUCAAAGCCUUGUCAGUCGUUCAAGGAGCUUAUGUCGAACUGCAAGCUUUCAUAAACAUGUCUUCAGCAUAUUCAUACCCUACAAAACACUGUGAGAAUGUAAUGGUUCACUUUCCUGUUCCCUCACAAUGGAACAAAACUCUUUGGACUAUGAACCUCCAAAGACAGAGAUCCCUGAAAGCAAAAAUGAACAGAAGAACUUGCCUUGGCUCUUUAAAUGAGCUUGAAUCUGACUCCAUUAUUCAUGUCUCAAUUGGAACAGCCAAGUAUGAAAGUGCCUAUAGAGCUAUUGUGUGGAAAAUUGACAGACUACCAGAUAAAAACUCAAAUCCAGAUCAUCUGCACAGUUUGUCUUUCAAACUAGAACUUGGCUCAGAUCAAGAAAUCCCUUCUGACUGGUGCCCUUUUGCUGUAGUGCAGUUCGUUGUGUCUGAAGCAUGCGCCUCAGGAACUGAAGUGAAAUCAUGGGGAAUUGAUAGGGAUGUACAGCCCCAGAAACAUGUGAUUCAGAAAGCAUGUUAUAAUUGCCAGGUUGAAAUUGAGAAGAAAUGGAUUAGACUUGAGGGAGAAGAUCCCAAUAAGGGUGGAGAUUGUGACAUACAGUAGAAGAGAGAAGUAAUCUGGAUUCCUUUUGAGGUUGUGAGAAAUAUUUUAAUGUAAGCAGAAUAAUUUAAAGGCAGUAAAGCAAUGGAUUUCAGUAUAUAAUUUUCAAAUUGUCAUGUAAAAAGUUUAGGUACAUAAUUUGCUAAACAUUUUCUAAACAUUUAAUAUAUUAACUAUAACAUUAUAAAGGUAAAUACUAUAAGUUAGUUCUGUUUCAGAGUUUGUGGAGAAAGAAACUGAACGCAGUUAUAGCUUGCAAUUCCUUACCUUUUCCUGAAGUAAUACAACUAUGCACUGCAACUGCCAUGUAAUUGCUGGGAAAAUAUAUUUGGGUUAACAAACGGCAGUAAAUUCUAUUUAUACUUUUGUAUAUUCCUAAACAACCUUCUGCCUUUCAAACCAAAGGACUUACUAUAUUGAAAAUAACCAUAUUUUAUAUGACUUCAAAGUCAGCUGAUCACAAACCUUUUUCAUGUUAGCAUCCAAAUAUUUCAACUUUUGAUGAUGUUUAGAAUUAUAAGACAUAGAAAAAAUCUGUCUGUAUAAUCCUGUUUAUUCUUUCAACUUUCAUUAAAAAAGAUGCAGGCCCAGCUACAUUUAUUGGUGGAUUCAGUGAUGAGCUUAGAAGUUUUACUGUAAAUUGAACCUUUUACAUUGUAUGUACUUCAAUAUGUUCUUUUGCUACCUAAAUGUACAUGUGUGGAAUAUUACUAGAAUAUAACAGAUAUUUUUCAGGGUGCUGUUGGCAAAAAUAGAGAGCUAAUCCAUUGCUUCCUUCCAAAGUUGUUAAUAUAGGGGAAGUACUGCAAUAAUUUGAACUUCCUUUCUUUGGGCUUUUGGUGAAAAUGGUUUUGCAUUGCUAUAUUUUGCCAUUGGUUAAAAAUUAUUUUGAAUCUCCAACAAGAACAUAAGUUAGAUUGGAAAAAAGAGGCUUCAUUUGUUCUUCAUAAAAGCUGAAGAACAACAUAUGAAUAUGAAAAGCAAAACCAAAGUUCUUUUGUUCUGCCAGAUGAGCUAGAGUUUACUUAAUGAGUGUGGAGUGGAUUGCACCUGAUUCUAAGGGAAAACAGCUAUACCUAAUAUGAUCAGCUUACCCUUUGGACUAUUUUGAACUUAUUUUUAAAAUUUAUUAUUUAGAUAUAUUUGGACAUUUGGGAAGAGGACUCAUCACUGUUUUCAAUCUUGAGGCCUUGCUGCUCACAGAAGAAUGAUUUGAUGCUGAAAGUUUUAUCAACAUUUGAAUUAUAGAUCAGAUGAAGUUUGGUACUUAUUGAAUAUUCUUUAUAGUUAAAAGAGGAAUUACUGGAGAUCAGUUCUACAUGUGAAAAGGGAGGAUCCUGCUGCAGUUCACAUGAGAAAAGCCAAAAAGCACAGUUUAGAUACCGAAUAAAGAUGGAAUCUUGUUGCUUAAUUUGAUGUUAGAGCUUGUCAAUUUUUCAUGCAAAAACUGACUUUAUGAUGAUUGGUGUGGCACCAUUCUCAUUGCUAUAUCACAUUUUGCAGAAAAAUUAUGGAGCAUAAUCACACAUCCCUCUCGUAAUUUUGAAUUAUUUUGAUGUAAUUUUGACCUGAAGCUAUAUCUUGGAAACUGGAGCAAUUAAUACUCAGGACUUAAUUUUCAUUUAUUAGUGACCCAAUUCUGGUAAAAUUAAGAUCCUUUCAUUUCCGAAGUUUCUCCUUGUAGACCAAUGUAUUUGGGAGUCAAACUAUUCUCCAAAGCACCUGAGGAUAGAACAAGAAGCAAUGGGUGUAAACUAAUCAAGGAGAGAAGCAACUUAGAACUAAGGAGAAAUUUCCUGACAGUUAGAACAAUCAAUAAGUGGAAUAACUUGCCUCCAGAAGUUGUGAAUGCACCAACACUGGAAAUUUUUAAGAAUUUUUUUUUAAAUUUGCAUUUAUAUCCCGCCCUUCUCCAAAGACUCAGGGCGGCUUACACUAUGUUAGCAAUAGUCUUCAUCCAUUUGUAUAUUAUAUACAAAGUCAACUUAC
Molecule: RNA transcript, 4595 nt
Organism: Ahaetulla prasina
Lineage: Eukaryota; Metazoa; Chordata; Lepidosauria; Squamata; Colubridae
Gene: STON1
Gene name: stonin 1
Exons: 6
Source: RefSeq, a predicted model, not a curated record